Molecule: ribosomal RNA, 491 nt
Filed under: uncultured bacterium
Lineage: Bacteria
Description: partial 16S ribosomal RNA
Rfam family: Bacterial small subunit ribosomal RNA
Source: RNAcentral
AGUGAACGCUGGCGGUAGGCCUAACACAUGCAAGUCGAACGGCAGCACAGUAAGAGCUUGCUCUUACGGGUGGCGAGUGGCGGACGGGUGAGGAAUACAUCGGAAUCUACUUUUUCGUGGGGGAUAACGUAGGGAAACUUACGCUAAUACCGCAUACGACCUACGGGUGAAAGCAGGGAUCUUCGGACCUUGCGCGAUUGAAUGAGCCGAUGUCGGAUUAGCUAGUUGGCGGGGUAAAGGCCCACCAAGGCGACGAUCCGUAGCUGGUCUGAGAGGAUGAUCAGCCACACUGGAACUGAGACACGGUCCAGACUCCUACGGGGGGCAGCAGUGGGGAAUAUUGGACAAUGGGCGCAAGCCUGAUCCAGCCAUACCGCGUGGGUGAAGAAGGCCUUCGGGUUGUAAAGCCCUUUUGUUGGGAAAGAAAAGCAGCAGGUUAAUACCCCGCUGUUCUGACGGUACCCAAAGAAUAAGCACCGGCUAACUUCGUG